This 443-nucleotide ribosomal RNA is filed under the name uncultured bacterium. Its description in RNAcentral is "partial 16S ribosomal RNA". It matches the Rfam family "Bacterial small subunit ribosomal RNA", at positions 338 to 795 of the family's 1533-position model. The record is from RNAcentral.
CCUACGGGGGGCAGCAGUGAGGAAUAUUGGUCAAUGGACGGAAGUCUGAACCAGCCAUGCCGCGUGCAGGAAGACGGCUCUAUGAGUUGUAAACUGCUUUUGUAAGCGAGUAAUAUGAAGGUAACUUAUUAAUAAGGAUCGGCUAACUACGUGCCAGCAGCCGCGGUCAUACGUAGGAUCCGAGAAUUAACCGGAGUGACUGGGUGUAAAGAGUUGCGUAGGUGGCAUAAUAAGUAGCGAGGGGAAUUUGGUGGCUCAACCAUUCAGACUAUUGGCUAAACUGUUAAGCUUGAGACCAUUAGGGGUAACUGGAAUUUCUAGUGUAGGAGUGAAAUCCGUAGAUAUUAGAAGGAACACCAAUAGCGUAGGCAGGUUACUGGGACGGUUCUGACACUAAGGCACGAAAGCGUAGGGAGCAAACGGGAUUAGAUACCCUAGUAGUC